Molecule: long non-coding RNA, 1506 nt
Organism: Peromyscus eremicus (cactus mouse)
Lineage: Eukaryota; Metazoa; Chordata; Mammalia; Rodentia; Cricetidae
Exons: 4
Source: RefSeq, a predicted model, not a curated record
CGGCUUCUAGCCAAAGUCCCCAAACUUCAAGGAACGUUAAAUUUAAAAUAACAAUAAAGACGUUGUACCUGGAAGCUUCUUAUGAAAAGACACCAAAGACAACCACACACUAACCCCGGUGUGCGUGAAACGAAGCGCCGUGGCCACCAGGAGGGUAGAUCCCUCCAGAACUGACGGCGGAGGAGGUGCGCGGGGAGAGGCAGCCGCGUGGGCCGUGAGCUGGCCCGGCCGGGUGGACUCCUACCUGGACAGGCCGCCCGUGGCUCCCGCCCGGCCCGCCGCCCCAGCCGGUCAGGGCGCCCUCGCUCCGCCUGUCCGGAGCUCGAAGGUCAUCCCGGGCGUCCCCACCCGCCAGCGGACACUCACUCCGUCCCGGCUCCGACGGUCACCCAGCAACCACAGCUCCGCCACGGCCCCCGGGCUGUCUCAUCCUCCCGAGAGAGGGGAGGCGCCCAGAGGAGGGGCUGUGUGGCGGCUACUUCCGGUUCCUAGCCUCUCCUAUUGGCUGUUACUCCGAGACCGGAACUGCAUCUAUUCCGGGUGCCAUUUUCCUUCAGGGCAGAAGGCGAGGGUGAAGCCCAAGAGUCUACAUGGUCCACCUCCCAGGAGAGCUUCCAGAGUUAGCAAAUGAGAUGCUUUUGCAAGGGAAGCCACUUCAUCUCUGUAAAUGACAGGUCAUGGAUGUGGCUCUGGAAAACAGAUCAAGUUUAUUUCAUCACAAUAAUCAUCUUUAAGCUUUGGUCAAAGGAGAUCCACAGCAUGCACAGUGGGAAAGGAAUCUGGCCUCCUGUGUGAGGCUGCGAUCCUGCCAUCUCCAGGGGAGGGAGCUGAGAUGCACAGAGACUGACGAGCUUGAUCACACUCCACACGGCCCCUAAAUCUCCGACCAACCCAAGCCAGCUGAUGACAGUCUUGCCCCUGCCCAGGCCCUGUGGGAGGAAGAGGCUGACAGAUCAAAAGGGUUACCAGCUGGCUACGGUGACUCACAACUGUGGGUCUGGGGCAGUGACUAAAGAGAUACAUGUCUCAAACUUCAGCUGGAUGUAGGGAGACACUGCUGCAACUCAUUAAGACAGAGUGCAGCAGAACCGAGCCCAGCUGAGUAUAAACCCCCUUCCAGUGGUGGCUUACCCAUGGACUGGCCUCUUUUGAGACCCGGUGUCAUGUUACCUAGGCAGGCCUUGGACGCCUGACCCCUGUUCUCUGACUCCCCAGUGCAGGGAAUAUAUAAACUAUGGGUUUGCUGCUUCUUCCCAACCAAGCUUUCCCACCUGCCUAGCUAUGCCCUGGUCUCUGUUCCACAGGCUUUUCUCGCCACUAAGCUCUCAGUCCACUAUGCUUGGCUUGCGGUUUCCCGUCACUUUCUCCAACGGUGUUCGCUUCUUUCUUCACCACACUCAAGUAUUUGGAUUAACCGUGCUUGGGCCUCUAUUUCUUAUGUGUCUUCUCACAGAGUUAAAGUCCAGUGAGCAGGAGCUUCUCUGCUUGUGCUCACAGUUAUACCGC